GACGAACGCUGGCGGCGUGCUUAACACAUGCAAGUCGAACGAUGAAGCCCUUCGGGGUGGAUUAGUGGCGAACGGGUGAGUAACACGUGGGCAAUCUGCCCUGCACUCUGGGACAAGCCCUGGAAACGGGGUCUAAUACCGGAUAUGACCAUCUUGGGCAUCCUUGAUGGUGUAAAGCUCCGGCGGUGCAGGAUGAGCCCGCGGCCUAUCAGCUUGUUGGUGAGGUAAUGGCUCACCAAGGCGACGACGGGUAGCCGGCCUGAGAGGGCGACCGGCCACACUGGGACUGAGACACGGCCCAGACUCCUACGGGAGGCAGCAGUGGGGAAUAUUGCACAAUGGGCGAAAGCCUGAUGCAGCGACGCCGCGUGAGGGAUGACGGCCUUCGGGUUGUAAACCUCUUUCAGCAGGGAAGAAGCGAAAGUGACGGUACCUGCAGAAGAAGCGCCGGCUAACUACGUGCCAGCAGCCGCGGUAAUACGUAGGGCGCAAGCGUUGUCCGGAAUUAUUGGGCGUAAAGAGCUCGUAGGCGGCUUGUCACGUCGAUUGUGAAAGCUCGGGGCUUAACCCCGAGUCUGCAGUCGAUACGGGCUAGCUAGAGUGUGGUAGGGGAGAUCGGAAUUCCUGGUGUAGCGGUGAAAUGCGCAGAUAUCAGGAGGAACACCGGUGGCGAAGGCGGAUCUCUGGGCCAUUACUGACGCUGAGGAGCGAAAGCGUGGGGAGCGAACAGGAUUAGAUACCCUGGUAGUCCACGCCGUAAACGGUGGGAACUAGGUGUUGGCGACAUUCCACGUCGUCGGUGCCGCAGCUAACGCAUUAAGUUCCCCGCCUGGGGAGUACGGCCGCAAGGCUAAAACUCAAAGGAAUUGACGGGGGGCC
This 879-nucleotide ribosomal RNA is filed under the name Streptomyces sp. INBio2576F. Its description in RNAcentral is "bacterial SSU rRNA". It matches the Rfam family "Bacterial small subunit ribosomal RNA", at positions 28 to 922 of the family's 1533-position model. The record is from RNAcentral. Lineage: Bacteria; Bacillati; Actinomycetota; Actinomycetes; Kitasatosporales; Streptomycetaceae.